AGUAGAAGAAGUAUCCUCUCCAGAGUCGUGGAUCGAUACUAAAGGAGUCUUCUCCGCAGCACCGCUCCCUGAUGGAAAUCUGGCAGUUCAAAACGACGACCUCGUAGAUAACCGCCUUCUAGCCUACCAGAGGAACACGAGUGCAAAGAAGGGGUUGCAUCAUCUCCCAAAGCAAAAGGACGAGUUAAUAUACUUUUGCAGCUUUCUGGAUCGCUGGAG
RNAcentral lists this long non-coding RNA (219 nucleotides) under Brassica napus (rape). RNAcentral describes it as "long non-coding RNA (BNAP_LNC011395)". Lineage: Eukaryota; Viridiplantae; Streptophyta; Magnoliopsida; Brassicales; Brassicaceae. The record is from RNAcentral.